UACGUAGGGUGCGAGCGUUGUUCGGAGUUACUGGGCGUAAAGAGUGCGUAGGCGGUUUUCUAAGUUUGGUGUGAAAUCUCCCGGCUUAACUGGGAGGGUGCGCCGAAGACUGGAAGGCUUGAGUAUGGGAGAGGUAAGCGGAAUUCCUGGUGUAGCGGUGAAAUGCGUAGAGAUUAGGAAGAACACCAGUGGCGAAGGCGACUUACUGGACUGUAACUGACGCUGAGGCAUGAAAGCGUGGGGAGCAAACAGG
RNAcentral lists this ribosomal RNA (253 nucleotides) under uncultured bacterium. RNAcentral's name for it is "partial 16S ribosomal RNA". It matches the Rfam family "Bacterial small subunit ribosomal RNA", at positions 524 to 776 of the family's 1533-position model. The record is from RNAcentral.